Molecule: ribosomal RNA, 200 nt
Filed under: uncultured bacterium
Lineage: Bacteria
Description: partial 16S ribosomal RNA
Rfam family: Bacterial small subunit ribosomal RNA
Source: RNAcentral
AUUGAACGCUGGCGGCAUGCUUUACACAUGCAAGUCGAACGGUAACAGGGAGCUUGCUCCACUGACGAGUGGCGAACGGGUGAGUAAUAUAUCGGAACGUACCCAAGAGUGGGGGAUAACGUAGCGAAAGUUACGCUAAUACCGCAUACGAUCUAUGGAUGAAAGCAGGGGACCUUCGGGCCUUGUGCUCCUGGAGCGGC